RNAcentral lists this small RNA (102 nucleotides) under Marmota monax (woodchuck). The record is from RNAcentral. Lineage: Eukaryota; Metazoa; Chordata; Mammalia; Rodentia; Sciuridae.
ACCCACUAGUAGUCCCAGUUACUUGGGAGGCUGAGGUAGGAGGAUCACUUGAGCCCAGGAGUUUGGGGCCAGCCUGGGCCACAGAGUGAGACUUCAUCUCAA